AUGGGCGCCUCCAUCCUCCGCUCCGCCGCGCGCCACCGCCCCGCCGCCGUCCAUGCCCUUCUCUGCUCCGCCGCCACCGACACCAGCGCCGCCCUCGUCCGCCCCGCGCCCGCCGCCCGCCGCCAGCUCUGCGACUCCGCCGUGGCGAAGAUGGCAGCCUCGGAAGUGGAGCGGGUGGAGACGGCCUCGUCGGCCAGAUACGACGCCACGGCCAGGUCCAUGCAGGCACUGACAUCCAAGGUCACGAACCUCACCGCCACACUCCACAAGAAGGAAACCGAUGCCGCCUUGGAUCUCACCCGGACUUCAGCAAAGGUGUGCGCGUUGGUGUCCCUUUCGGCCGCGGCGCUUGGGGGCUUCUCGUACAUCGCCAUCAUGCCCCCCGGCUCAGCUCCGCCCGCUGCAACUGAGGAAGUCGACAAGGGCAUGGAGGAGGUCAAGACUCGGCUCCAAGGGAAGAUCAGUGAGUGGUACGAGGACGAGGAGGCCAAGGCCCGCGCCAAGGCCGUCUCCAACUCCAAGCCCGGCACCGUUUCCAAGCUCAAGUCCGUCUCCAUCUCCAAGCCCAAGUCCAAGAUCGGCUCCGCCACCAGCUCCGCCCCCGGCUCCGGCUCCAACUCUUGA
This 624-nucleotide ribosomal RNA is filed under the name Triticum aestivum (bread wheat). Its description in RNAcentral is "partial small subunit ribosomal RNA". Lineage: Eukaryota; Viridiplantae; Streptophyta; Magnoliopsida; Poales; Poaceae. The record is from RNAcentral.